UCCCUUAGUAACGGCGAGCGA
Molecule: non-coding RNA, 21 nt
Filed under: Arabidopsis thaliana (thale cress)
Lineage: Eukaryota; Viridiplantae; Streptophyta; Magnoliopsida; Brassicales; Brassicaceae
Source: RNAcentral